Long non-coding RNA from Hyla sarda, 652 nucleotides. RefSeq lists it as uncharacterized. The record is from RefSeq and is a predicted model, not a curated record. Lineage: Eukaryota; Metazoa; Chordata; Amphibia; Anura; Hylidae. The transcript has 3 exons.
UUGUGAGCCACGCCCCUUCUGACAUCAUUGCUGCAGACCAUGCCCCCUUUCUACCGGUCUCGGUAGUGAGAACUGCUUUGAAAUGUAGUUUUAAUAGGGUGUGCAGGAGGAAGGAGCAGAGAAAAAAAAUGGAGUAGUGGGCAGAGGGGGACCGUGCAUCGAGAAGCAGUGAAUGAGCAGAAACAAGCCAGAAGGACUAUGUGGAGUUUUUUUCAAUUUAGUUUUUCACCACUGUCUACUGAGAAACAAUGAGCCUGCGGAAUGGGAAGAAUACGUCUGCAUUUGCAUGACACUGAAGUUGUUUAAACACAAAGCAAAAGAGGUUUCACCAGGGGACUCCCUGUCAGGACCCAGAGACUAAGCAGCGAGUGUCAAAUUCUGCCUAACAAGCAUUACAGAUUUAAGAUUAUACUCUCUAAAAUCAAAAGCCAUGUGGGACUAGGAACAUCUUACUGUAGGAAAAGGAACAUUGUGAACGUGCACCAACAGCUGCUAAAACACAGCAAGAGAAGACCUGGUGUUCUGCCAUCUGCCAUUUAUUAGAAGGAGAAAAAAAAAGAAAAAAAAAAGUCAAUAAAUCGAGCUGAAGAUGAUUGAUGAAGCUGCGAGGACCCCAUACGAGCAAUGAAUAAAGCCUUGAGAAACAAAGGGA